This 254-nucleotide ribosomal RNA is filed under the name uncultured bacterium. RNAcentral's name for it is "partial 16S ribosomal RNA". It matches the Rfam family "Bacterial small subunit ribosomal RNA", at positions 524 to 776 of the family's 1533-position model. The record is from RNAcentral.
UACGGGGGGAGCAAGCGUUGUUCGGAUUUACUGGGCGUAAAGGGCGCGUAGGCGGCGCAACAAGUCACUUGUGAAAUCUCCGGGCUUAACUCAGAACGGCCAAGUGAUACUGCAGUGCUAGAGUGCAGAAGGGGCAAUCGGAAUUCUUGGUGUAGCGGUGAAAUGCGUAGAUAUCAAGAGGAACACCUGAGGUGAAGACGGGUUGCUGGGCUGACACUGACGCUGAGUGCGCGAAAGCCAGGGGAGCAAACGGG